GGGGAUAGAGCUCAGUUAGUAGAGUGCUUGCCUUGCAUGCACAUGCAUAAGGCCCUGGGUUCAAUCCCCAGCACCA
RNAcentral lists this transfer RNA (76 nucleotides) under Marmota monax (woodchuck). RNAcentral describes it as "tRNA.Ala". Lineage: Eukaryota; Metazoa; Chordata; Mammalia; Rodentia; Sciuridae. The record is from RNAcentral.